CCCAGACCUCAUUUAAGGGCUGGCAGUGGAGGCAGGAGUGUUUUGCUGGAGAUUCCUGUAUACCUGAGGCCUUCCAAAGAUAGCACAGCCUGCUCUGGCCAGGCAAGAAAACGCCGCCGUAGCUCGGGGUACAGCUGUGGACUACCCGGCUUACAGAAAGCCCGGAGCUGCUGUAUCCCUGCCCUACAGAUCUCCAUCCCAGUUGCUCGUUCCAGCUCACUCUCAGCAGUGCCUCAGCGCUCCCGCCCGCAUGGCCGCACCGGGAGGCAGCAGCAGCACCUAGCGGUACCAGCGGCACCGAGCGGCACCAGCAUUCCCUGCAGCCGGGAAACAGUUCCACACUCACUGCUUUCCUCGGGAGAUCCCACCAUUUUUCUGUCUUUUUUCGAAGCAUCUGAACGGCAUCGCUUUGCAUCGCGAGCCUUUUGCUCAAGGGAGCUGAGUAGUUCCCUUGUUUGGCCAGAGAUUUCAGGGAGGCCCCCCUGUGUGUUGGUGUUAUGCUAUUUGGACGCAAGCGGCCCCAGCAAUCGCUGCAGCAUUUUGAUUCAGGACUCUGAGCAAUGCGUGACUGUGGAGCUGUGGUUCAGCGUGCUGCUCUAUCCCUGAGGCCUGCGUAACCAAACUGCCUUCUCUACAGCACAGCUGAGAAACAAAGCCAGUAGUGCCCCACCACAGCAGCACAGAUCUGUGCUGUGUCCUGCUCCCAACAUCCAGCCUGCCUGACAUCAACAUUUAACAUGUAAGUUAUUAAACUGAAAGCUAUCACCCUGAUUAUUGGGGGAAACAGAGGAACUUGGAAGUUAUUUACCAUUCACCUGGUGGUUAAUACAGUGCCCCAAGAAGAUGCUGUGACAACAAAUCAGGGGCUUUCUGUAGGUCUCCAGGAAAGAUGGGGAUGCAAAAAAAGAGUGGCAAAUGAGCCACUGCUGUGCAUGGGGCAGUUUGCUCUGCAGUUCUGCCUGACUCAAGGCUUAUCCCAGAGUGGGAGUUCUGAACAGAACACACGGCCACAUCGUGUUUUGUUUGUUCUCAUUGCCUGUCCCCAACUUUCCAGCGUCAGUUUUAAAGUGGAAAUCAGAUCACAAACGCUAUACAUACAAAUGAUGUAUUGACUAUUUCAGGUGAGCUGUGCCAAAAAGGGGCUACUGCGUGAAACAAUAUAGUGAUACAGUUGCCUGAUUAAGGGAGAACUGAGAAAUUAA
This is a non-coding RNA of Coturnix japonica (Japanese quail), 1202 nucleotides long. The record is from RefSeq and is a predicted model, not a curated record. NCBI's taxonomy places the organism in Eukaryota, Metazoa, Chordata, Aves, Galliformes, Phasianidae.